RNAcentral lists this ribosomal RNA (429 nucleotides) under Acidobacteriota bacterium. Its description in RNAcentral is "Acidobacteria bacterium partial 16S ribosomal RNA". It matches the Rfam family "Bacterial small subunit ribosomal RNA", at positions 355 to 776 of the family's 1533-position model. The record is from RNAcentral. Lineage: Bacteria; Pseudomonadati; Acidobacteriota.
UGGGGAAUUUUGGACAAUGGGGGAAACCCUGAUCCAGCCAUCCCGCGUGUGCGAUGAAGGCCUUCGGGUUGUAAAGCACUUUUGGCAGGAAAGAAACGUCAUGGGUUAAUACCCCGUGAAACUGACGGUACCUGCAGAAUAAGCACCGGCUAACUACGUGCCAGCAGCCGCGGUAAUACGUAGGGUGCAAGCGUUAAUCGGAAUUACUGGGCGUAAAGCGUGCGCAGGCGGUUCGGAAAGAAAGAUGUGAAAUCCCAGAGCUCAACUUUGGAACUGCAUUUUUAAGUCCCGGGCUAGAGUGUGUCAGAGGGAGGUGGAAUUCCGCGUGUAGCAGUGAAAUGCGUAGAUAUGCGGAGGAACACCGAUGGCGAAGGCAGCCUCCUGGGAUAACUCUGACGCUCAUGCACGAAAGCGUGGGGAGCAAACAGG